RNAcentral lists this ribosomal RNA (496 nucleotides) under uncultured bacterium. RNAcentral's name for it is "partial 16S ribosomal RNA". It matches the Rfam family "Bacterial small subunit ribosomal RNA", at positions 28 to 506 of the family's 1533-position model. The record is from RNAcentral.
GAUGAACGCUGGCGGCGUGCCUAAUACAUGCAAGUCGAGCGAACAGACGAGGAGCUUGCUCCUCUGACGUUAGCGGCGGACGGGUGAGUAACACGUGGAUAACCUACCUAUAAGACUGGGAUAACUUCGGGAAACCGGAGCUAAUACCGGAUAAUAUAUUGAACCGCAUGGUUCAAUAGUGAAAGACGGUUUUGCUGUCCCUUAUAGAUGGAUCCGCGCCGCAUUAGCUAGUUGGUAAGGUAACGGCUUACCAAGGCAACGAUGGGUAGCCGACCUGAGAGGGUGAUCGGCCAAACUGGAGAUGAGAAACGGUCCAGACUCCUACGGGAGGCAGCAGUAGGGAAUCUUCCGCAAUGGGCGAAAGCUUGACGGAGCAACGCCGCGUGAGUGAUGAAGGUCUUCGGAUCGUAAAACGCUGUUAUUAGGGAAGAACAAAUGUGUAAGUAACUAUGCACGUCUUGACGGUACCUAAUCAGAAAGCCACGGCUAACUACGU